Small nuclear RNA from Cercocebus atys (sooty mangabey), 107 nucleotides. The record is from Ensembl. NCBI's taxonomy places the organism in Eukaryota, Metazoa, Chordata, Mammalia, Primates, Cercopithecidae.
GUGCUUGCUUUGGCAGCACAUGCACUAAAAUUGGAACGAUACAGAGAAUAUUAGCAUGCCCCCUGCACAAAGAUGACAUGCAGAUUCAUGAAGCAUGCCAUGUUUUU